This 425-nucleotide ribosomal RNA is filed under the name uncultured bacterium. RNAcentral's name for it is "partial 16S ribosomal RNA". It matches the Rfam family "Bacterial small subunit ribosomal RNA", at positions 354 to 796 of the family's 1533-position model. The record is from RNAcentral.
GUUAGGAAUAUUGGACAAUGGGCGAAAGCCUGAUCCAGCCAUGCCGCGUGAACGAUGAAGGCCUUCGGGUUGUAAAGUUCUUUAGCCGAUGAUUAUAAUGACUGUAGUCGGAAAAUAAGCCCCGGCUAACUUCGUGCCAGCAGCCGCGGUAAUACGAAGGUGGCGAGCGUUAUUCGGAAUCACUGGGCGUAAAGCGUGCGUAGGCGGUUUUGUAAGUUAGGAGUGAAAGCCCAGGGCUCAACCUUGGAAUUGCUCUUAAAACUGCAAGGCUCGAAUCUCGGAGAGGAUAGCGGAAUUUCCAGUGUAGCAGUGAAAUGCGUAGAUAUUGGAAGGAACACCAGUGGCGUAAGCGGCUAUCUGGACGAGUAUUGACGCUGAGGCACGAAAGCGUGGGGAUCAAACAGGAUUAGAAACCCUUGUAGUCC